GUAUAAUGACGGGGUUUUGGUGCCCGCGCGUCUGUCCAGAUGCGCAGUUAAACGGGAAACACGAAGCUCUCGGCUCAAGCAGCCAAGGCCCACGUGUGCUGCCCCCGCAACGGUAAGCAAGUGUCGCAACGCAUGCGCGACAAACCACCUCUGACAACCACUGUGCUCCGCAUGGGAAGGUGAGGCGGUUUAACUUGCCAGCCCGGAUACCGGCCAAAUCAGGUGGAAGCGA
RNAcentral lists this non-coding RNA (232 nucleotides) under Janthinobacterium sp. Lineage: Bacteria; Pseudomonadati; Pseudomonadota; Betaproteobacteria; Burkholderiales; Oxalobacteraceae. The record is from RNAcentral.